UACGUAGGGGGCAAGCGUUGUCCGGAAUUAUUGGGCGUAAAGAGCGUGUAGGCGGUCCGGUAAGUCAGCUGUGAAAGUCAAGGGCUCAACCCUUGAAAGCCGGUUGAUACUGUCGGGCUAGAGUCCGGAAGAGGCGAGUGGAAUUCCCGGUGUAGCGGUGAAAUGCGCAGAUAUCGGGAGGAACACCAAUGGCGAAGGCAGCGCGCUGGGACGGUACUGACGCUGAGACGCGAAAGCCAGGGGAGCGAACGGG
RNAcentral lists this ribosomal RNA (253 nucleotides) under uncultured bacterium. Its description in RNAcentral is "partial 16S ribosomal RNA". It matches the Rfam family "Bacterial small subunit ribosomal RNA", at positions 524 to 776 of the family's 1533-position model. The record is from RNAcentral.